GAGAGAGAGAGAGAGAGAGAGAGAGAGAGGGAGAGAGAGAGAGAGAGAGAGAGAGAGAGAGAGAGAAACCUUUCAUCUGAUCCAUAAUGUGCAAAGUUUCAGCCUUGGCUGGAGUUUUCAAUUUACGAUCAGUGACAAGUUCAACUCCAAGCAUCAAACCUCUUCCCCUUACAUCGCCGAUAACU
Telopea speciosissima is the source of this 185-nucleotide long non-coding RNA. RefSeq lists it as uncharacterized. The record is from RefSeq and is a predicted model, not a curated record. The transcript has 3 exons. Lineage: Eukaryota; Viridiplantae; Streptophyta; Magnoliopsida; Proteales; Proteaceae.